GAUGAACGCUGGCGGCGUGCCUAAUACAUGCAAGUCGAGCGAACGGACGAGAAGCUUGCUUCUCUGAUGUUAGCGGCGGACGGGUGAGUAACACGUGGAUAACCUACCUAUAAGACUGGGAUAACUUCGGGAAACCGGAGCUAAUACCGGAUAAUAUUUUGAACCGCAUGGUUCAAAAGUGAAAGACGGUCUUGCUGUCACUUAUAGAUGGAUCCGCGCUGCAUUAGCUAGUUGGUAAGGUAACGGCUUACCAAGGCAACGAUGCAUAGCCGACCUGAGAGGGUGAUCGGCCACACUGGAACUUAGACACGGUCCAGACUCCUACGGGAGGCAGCAGUAGGGAAUCUUCCGCAAUGGGCGAAAGCCUGACGGAGCAACGCCGCGUGAGUGAUGAAGGUCUUCGGAUCGUAAAACUCUGUUAUUAGGGAAGAACAUAUGUGUAAGUAACUGUGCACAUCUUGACGGUACCUAAUCAGAAAGCAACGGCUAACUACGUG
Molecule: ribosomal RNA, 497 nt
Filed under: uncultured bacterium
Lineage: Bacteria
Description: partial 16S ribosomal RNA
Rfam family: Bacterial small subunit ribosomal RNA
Source: RNAcentral